CCUACGGGAGGCAGCAGUAGGGAAUAUUGGGCAAUGGGCGGAAGCCUGACCCAGCCACGCCGCGUGCAGGAAGACGGCCCUCUGGGUUGUAAACUGCUUUUAACUGGGAAGAAAGCAGCUCAUGCGUGAGAAUUUGACGGUACCAGUUGAAUAAGCCACGGCUAACUACGUGCCAGCAGCCGCGGUAAUACGUAGGUGGCGAGCGUUAUCCGGAUUUAUUGGGUUUAAAGGGAGCGUAGGCGGCUGAUUAAGUCAGCGGUGAAAGGUAGCAGCUUAACUGUUUUACAUGCCGUUGAUACUGGUUAGCUUGAGUUGACAGAAGGCAGAUAGAAUUCCUGAUGUAGCGGUGAAAUGCUUAGAUAUCAGGAGGAAUACCGAUUGCGAAGGCAGUCUGCUGCAGUCACACUGACGCUGAGGCUCGAAGGUGCGGGGAUCAAACAGGAUUAGAUACCCUGGUAGUCCGCACAGUAAACGAUGAUUACUAGAUGUUGGCUAUGCCNGUGUCGAGGAACGAGUAAGUAAUACACCGUGGAGACGCCGCGACGAGAACGUACGAAGAAGUAGACGACGUGAGACGACGACGAGGACGACGACGAGGGGAGGAGG
This 606-nucleotide ribosomal RNA is filed under the name uncultured bacterium. RNAcentral describes it as "bacterial SSU rRNA". The stretch from base 1 to 528 matches the Rfam family "Bacterial small subunit ribosomal RNA", at positions 338 to 873 of the family's 1533-position model. The record is from RNAcentral.